UACGGAGGGUGCGAGCGUUGUCCGGAAUCACUGGGCGUAAAGGGCGCGUAGGCGGCUUGGGAAGUCCGUGGUGAAAGCUCGAGGCUCAACUUCGAGUCGGCCAUGGAUACUCCUAAGCUCGAGUCGACUAGAGGCAGAUGGAAUUCCGGGUGUAGCGGUGGAAUGCGUAGAGAUCCGGAAGAACACCGGUGGCGAAGGCGGUCUGCUGGGGUCGAACUGGACGCUGAG
Molecule: ribosomal RNA, 228 nt
Filed under: uncultured bacterium
Lineage: Bacteria
Description: partial 16S ribosomal RNA
Rfam family: Bacterial small subunit ribosomal RNA
Source: RNAcentral